UCCCUGAUGGCUCAGAUGGUAAAGCAUCUACCUGCAAUGCAGGAGACCUGGGUUCGAUCCCUGGGUGGGAA
This 71-nucleotide transfer RNA is filed under the name Ovis aries (sheep). It matches the Rfam family "tRNA". From Rfam's summary of the family: Transfer RNA (tRNA) molecules are approximately 80 nucleotides in length. Their secondary structure includes four short double-helical elements and three loops (D, anti-codon, and T loops). Further hydrogen bonds mediate the characteristic L-shaped molecular structure. tRNAs have two regions of fundamental functional importance: the anti-codon, which is responsible for specific mRNA codon recognition, and the 3' end, to which the tRNAs corresponding amino acid is attached (by aminoacyl-tRNA synthetases). tRNAs cope with the degeneracy of the genetic code in two manners: having more than one tRNA (with a specific anti-codon) for a particular amino acid; and 'wobble' base-pairing, i.e. permitting non-standard base-pairing at the 3rd anti-codon position. Lineage: Eukaryota; Metazoa; Chordata; Mammalia; Artiodactyla; Bovidae. The record is from Rfam by way of RNAcentral.